AUGGUUUGGGCUGCAGUGGGCAUCCCUGACCCCAUCCAGGGGCUGCAAUCCCCCCGCCAGGUCCCUGCAGCUUCCCCAGCCCCUUCCCUGGGCUCUGGGAUCCCCCCUGGGUGCAAGGGGACAGGCAGGGAGGGGGUGAUCGUGGCCAGGGGACCCCCAUCACUGCUGGGGGGGGGGGGAACAGGAGCCCGCUGCCCUCCCACAGCCCCCAUCGCUCGCCGGUGCAGCACCCAUGGGUGCUGGCACCCGGUGUCCCCGCAGCCGCCUGCCCCCCGUGCUGUGUCCAGGGGGGGUUUGGGGGGGGGGGGCUCCCCAUCCCGCCUGCCCCAGCCCGGGCACAUGUGUUUCCAAUGUGGCUGCGAGCUCCAGGGAGUCGGCGUGCUCAGAAAGCAGCACCAAAUUCCUUUCCUAUCGAGUAAUGGGCCCCAGCAGCCUCCGCGAGGCCGGGCAGGGGGAGGGGAGGCUCGGACCCUCCAGGACUGGGCUCGGGGGCAGGCUUGGGGGUGGGAGGGGGGGGAGAGGAAAUCCCAGACUAAACAUCCCGAGGCCACGGGGAUCCCGGCGUUCCCCAGAGCCAGCGCUGCCGCCGCCGCACCGCGCGCUCGGGUGCAGUGUCCUCGCAGCCCCGGCUCACCCUGCCCGGUGCCACCGUCGGGGAACGGUCCCCAGGGUCCCCAGAUGUGUGUGUCCCCCCCCACAGCACCGCUCCCCACCCCACACCCAGGGUGGGCACCGGCACCGGGCCCUGCAGCGGGGAUGCUGCUGGCACCGUGCGCCGCGGGUGACCGCGGGCUGGGGAAGGACGGGGCGAAGCUCAGCCUCCAGGACGGAGGCCGUGGGGGCUCGGUGAUAGAAGGGGGGGGGGCCGGGCUCCUCCGCUCGCCUUUCCCGGGAGCCGUUUCUGCUGCUCUCAGCAGCUUUGGCAGGGAGGGAUCCUUUGCGGUGAUGCCGGGCAGCGGGAUGCACCCGGGGCUGACAGCUGCCUCCUGGCUGGUGCCACGCACCGCAAGCGGCCACCAGCGGGGCCACCGGGACCCCGGGGCUGGUGGGGAGGGGGCUGUGCCCGUGCCCCCCCCCCCCCAGCCCAGGAUGCAGCCAGCCGGGGAGCAGCGCACAGCACCCCGCUGA
Molecule: long non-coding RNA, 1128 nt
Filed under: Anas platyrhynchos platyrhynchos (common mallard)
Lineage: Eukaryota; Metazoa; Chordata; Aves; Anseriformes; Anatidae
Description: lncRNA (ENSAPLG00000017199.1)
Source: RNAcentral